This 448-nucleotide RNase P RNA is filed under the name Singulisphaera acidiphila DSM 18658. RNAcentral's name for it is "Bacterial RNase P class A". It matches the Rfam family "Bacterial RNase P class A". Rfam says of the family: Ribonuclease P (RNase P) is a ubiquitous endoribonuclease, found in archaea, bacteria and eukarya as well as chloroplasts and mitochondria. The record is from Rfam by way of RNAcentral. Lineage: Bacteria; Pseudomonadati; Planctomycetota; Planctomycetia; Isosphaerales; Isosphaeraceae.
GUGACGGACUGGAUGAUCGCCACGGCGCUUGGAUUUGAUGGAAACAUCAAUCUGAGGGCAUGCCGUAGAGGAAAGUCCGGACUCCGUAGGGCGCGGUGGUGGGUAACGCCCACCGCCCGAUUGAUCUCGGGAAGGGAAAGUGCCACAGAAAACAGACCGCCACGGUGCGCUUCGGCUCGCCGGGGUAAGGGUGAAACGGUGAGGUAAGAGCUCACCAGCAGGCCGGGUGACCGGCUUGGCUUGGCAAACCCCACUGGGAGCAAGACCAAAUAAGGGAGCAACGCCGCCUGACUGACCGCAAGGGAAGAAGGGCGACGGCGGAUUUGCCCGAUCCGGAUGACUUCCGGGUAGGUCGCUAGAGGCGUCGGGUAACCGGCGUCCCAGAGAAAUGAUCAUCCGGGGACGUUCGCGUCCCCGACAGAAUCCGGCUUACAGGUCCGUCACGAUC